GCGGCCUAUCAGCUAGUUGGUGAGGUAAUGGCUCACCAAGGCAACGACGGGUAGCCGGCCUGAGAGGGCGACCGGCCACACUGGGACUGAGACACGGCCCAGACUCCUACGGGAGGCAGCAGUGGGGAAUAUUGGGCAAUGGAGGAAACUCUGACCCAGCGACGCCGCGUGCGGGAUGAAGGCCUUCGGGUUGUAAACCGCUUUCAGUAGGGAAGAAGCGAAAGUGACGGUACCUACAAAAGAAGCACCGGCUAACUAUGUGCCAGCAGCCGCGGUAAUACAUAGGGUGCAAGCGUUGUCCGGAAUUAUUGGGCGUAAAGAGCUCGUAGGUCGUUUGUUACGUCGGAUGUGAAAACCUGAGGCUCAACCUCAGGCCUGCAUUCGAUACGGGGCAAACUAGAGUUUGGUAGGGGAGACUGGAAUUCCUGGUGUAGCGGUGGAAUGCGCAGAUAUCAGGAGGAACACCAAUGGCGAAGGCAGGUCUCUGGGCCAUUACUGACACUGAGGAGCGAAAGUUCGGGGAGCGAACAGGAUUAGAUACCCUGGUAGUCCGAACCGUAAACGGUGGACGCUAGUUGUGGGAACCUUCCACGGUUUCCGCGACGCAGCUAACGCAUUAAGCGUCCCGCCUGGGGAGUACGAUCGCAAGAUUAAAACUCAAAGGAAUUGACGGGGCCCCGCACAAGCAGCGGAGCAUGCGGCUUAAUUCGACGCAACGCGAAGAACCUUACCAAGGCUUGACAUAUAGAGAAAAGUGGCAGAGAUGUCAUGUCCGCAAGGGCUCUAUACAGGUGGUGCAUGGUUGUCGUCAGCUCGUGUCGUGAGAUGUUGGGUUAAGUCCCGCAACGAGCGCAACCCUCGUUCUGUGUUACCAGCAUUUAGUUGGGGACUCACAGGAGACUGCCGGGGUCAACUCGGAGGAAGGUGGGGAUGACGUCAAAUCAUCAUGCCCCUUAUGUCUUGGGCUGCACGCAUGCUACAAUGGCUGGUACAAAGUGCUGCAAUACCGCAAGGUUGAGCGAAUCACAUAAAGCCAGUCUCAGUUCGGAUUGGGGUCUGCAACUCGACCCCAUGAAGUCGGAGUUGCUAGUAAUCGUAGAUCAGCAACGCUACGGUGAAUACGUUCCCGGGGCUUGUACACACCGCCCGUC
RNAcentral lists this ribosomal RNA (1151 nucleotides) under uncultured bacterium. RNAcentral's name for it is "bacterial SSU rRNA". It matches the Rfam family "Bacterial small subunit ribosomal RNA", at positions 233 to 1398 of the family's 1533-position model. The record is from RNAcentral.